Molecule: ribosomal RNA, 446 nt
Filed under: uncultured organism
Description: partial 16S ribosomal RNA
Rfam family: Bacterial small subunit ribosomal RNA
Source: RNAcentral
CACUCCUACGGGAGGCAGCAGUGGGGAAUAUUGGGCAAUGGGCGCAAGCCUGAUCCAGCCAUGCCGCGUGAGUGAUGAAGGCCCUAGGGUUGUAAAGCUCUUUCACCGGUGAAGAUAAUGACGGUAACCGGAGAAGAAGCCCCGGCUAACUUCGUGCCAGCAGCCGCGGUAAUACGAAGGGGGCUAGCGUUGUUCGGAUUUACUGGGCGUAAAGCGCACGUAGGCGGACUAUUAAGUCAGGGGUGAAAUCCCGGGGCUCAACCCCGGAACUGCCUUUGAUACUGGUAGUCUUGAGUUCGAGAGAGGUGAGUGGAAUUCCGAGUGUAGAGGUGAAAUUCGUAGAUAUUCGGAGGAACACCAGUGGCGAAGGCGGCUCACUGGCUCGAUACUGACGCUGAGGUGCGAAAGCGUGGGGAGCAAACAGGAUUAGAUACCCUAGUAGUCCC